GGAAAGUUUCGCGAAACAGGGUGAUAGCCCCGUACACGAAACGGUUAGUUGGACAUAUUAAGUAGGGCGGGGCACGUGAAACCUUGUCUGAAGAUCGGGGGACCAUCCUCGAAGGCUAAAUACUCGUUAUCGACCGAUAGUGAACCAGUACCGUGAGGGAAAGGCGAAAAGAACCCCGGAGAGGGGAGUGAAAUAGAACCUGAAACCGGAUGCGUACAAGCAGUGGGAGCUCUUCGGAGUGACUGCGUACCUUUUGUAUAAUGGGUCAGCGACUUAUAUUCUGUAGCAAGGUUAACCGAAUAGGGGAGCCGUAGGGAAACCGAGUCUUAAUAGGGCGUCUAGUUGCAGGGUAUAGACCCGAAACCGAGUGAUCUAUCCAUGAGCAGGUUGAAAGUGACGUAACAGUUACCGGAGGACCGAACCCACUGUCUUUGAAAAGCCAGGGGAUGACUUGUGGAUAGGGGUGAAAGGCUAAUCAAACUCGGUGAUAGCUGGUUCUCCCCGAAAGCUAUUUAGGUAGCGCCUCGGACGAACACCAUUGGGGGUAGAGCACUGUUUCGGCUAGGGGGUCAUCUCGACUUACCAAACCGAUGCAAACUCCGAAUACCAACAAGUGCAAUCACGGGAGACACACGGCGGGUGCUAACGUCCGUCGUGGAAAGGGAAACAACCCAGACCGCCAGCUAAGGUCCCAAAAUCAUGUCUAAGUGGUAAACGAUGUGGAAAGGCACAAACAGCCAGGAGGUUGGCUUAGAAGCAGCCACCCUUUAAAGAAAGCGUAAUAGCUCACUAGUCGAGUCGGCCUGCGCGGAAGAUGUAACGGGGCUCAAACUAGGAGCCGAAGCUGCGGAAGA
This 854-nucleotide ribosomal RNA is filed under the name Chattonella subsalsa. RNAcentral describes it as "partial Bacterial large subunit ribosomal RNA". It matches the Rfam family "Bacterial large subunit ribosomal RNA", at positions 344 to 1209 of the family's 2925-position model. Lineage: Eukaryota; Raphidophyceae; Chattonellales; Chattonellaceae. The record is from RNAcentral.